CCUACGGGAGGCAGCAGUGGGGGAUAUUGCACAAUGGGGGGAACCCUGAUGCAGCGACGCCGCGUGGGUGAAGGCGCGUUUCGGCGCGUUAAGCCCUAUCGGCAGGGAAGUAGAUGACGGUACCUGACCAAGAAGCCCCGGCUAACUACGUGCCAGCAGCCGCGGUAAGACGUAGGGGGCCAGCGUUAUCCGGAUUUACUGGGUGUAAAGGGGGCGCAGUCGGCGAUGCAAGCCAGGAGUGAAAGCCCGGGGCCCAACCCCGGGACUGCACUUGGAACUGGAUGGCUGGAGUACAGGAGGGGCAGGCGGAAUUCCUGGUGUAGCGGUGAAAUGCGUAGAUAUUAGGAGGAACACCGGUGGCGAAGGCGGCCUGCUGGACUGUGACUGACGUUGAGGCCCGAAGGCGUGGGGAGCAAACAGGAUUAGAUACCCCAGUAGUC
RNAcentral lists this ribosomal RNA (440 nucleotides) under uncultured bacterium. RNAcentral describes it as "partial 16S ribosomal RNA". It matches the Rfam family "Bacterial small subunit ribosomal RNA", at positions 338 to 795 of the family's 1533-position model. The record is from RNAcentral.